AUUGAACGCUGGCGGCAGGCUUAACACAUGCAAGUCGAACGAUGACUCUCUAGCUUGCUAGAGAAGAUUAGUGGCGGACGGGUGAGUAACAUUUAGGAAUCUGCCUAGUAGUGGGGGAUAGCUCGGGGAAACUCGAAUUAAUACCGCAUACGACCUACGGGUGAAAGGGGGCGCAAGCUCUUGCUAUUAGAUGAGCCUAAAUCAGAUUAGCUAGUUGGUGGGGUAAAGGCCCACCAAGGCGACGAUCUGUAACUGGUCUGAGAGGAUGAUCAGUCACACCGGAACUGAGACACGGUCCGGACUCCUACGGGAGGCAGCAGUGGGGAAUAUUGGACAAUGGGGGCAACCCUGAUCCAGCCAUGCCGCGUGUGUGAAGAAGGCCUUUUGGUUGUAAAGCACUUUAAGCAGGGAGGAGAGGCUAAUGGUUAAUACCCAUUAGAUUAGACGUUACCUGCAGAAUAAGCACCGGCUAACUCUGUGCCAGCAGCCGCGGUAAUACAGAGGGUGCGAGCGUUAAUCGGAAUUACUGGGCGUAAAGCGAGUGUAGGUGGCUCAUUAAGUCACAUGUGAAAUCCCCGGGCUUAACCUGGGAACUGCAUGUGAUACUGGUGGUGCUAGAAUAUGUGAGAGGGAAGUAGAAUUCCAGGUGUAGCGGUGAAAUGCGUAGAGAUCUGGAGGAAUACCGAUGGCGAAGGCAGCUUCCUGGCAUAAUAUUGACACUGAGAUUCGAAAGCGUGGGUAGCAAACAGGAUUAGAUACCCUGGUAGUCCACGCCGUAAACGAUGUCUACUAGCCGUUGGGGUCCUUGAGACUUUAGUGGCGCAGUUAACGCGAUAAGUAGACCGCCUGGGGAGUACGGCCGCAAGGUUAAAACUCAAAUGAAUUGACGGGGGCCCGCACAAGCGGUGGAGCAUGUGGUUUAAUUCGAUGCAACGCGAAGAACCUUACCUGGUCUUGACAUAGUGAGAAUCUCUCAGAGAUGAGAGAGUGCCUUCGGGAACUCACAUACAGGUGCUGCAUGGCUGUCGUCAGCUCGUGUCGUGAGAUGUUGGGUUAAGUCCCGCAACGAGCGCAACCCUUUUCCUUAUUUGCCAGCGGGUUAAGCCGGGAACUUUAAGGAUACUGCCAGUGACAAACUGGAGGAAGGCGGGGACGACGUCAAGUCAUCAUGGCCCUUACGACCAGGGCUACACACGAGCUACAAUGGUAGGUACAGAGGGUUGCUACACAGCGAUGUGAUGCUAAUCUCAAAAAGCCUAUCGUAGUCCGGAUUGGAGUCUGCAACUCGACUCCAUGAAGUCGGAAUCGCUAGUAAUCGCGGAUCAGAAUGCCGCGGUGAAUACGUUCCCGGGCCU
This 1355-nucleotide ribosomal RNA is filed under the name uncultured bacterium. RNAcentral describes it as "bacterial SSU rRNA". It matches the Rfam family "Bacterial small subunit ribosomal RNA", at positions 28 to 1381 of the family's 1533-position model. The record is from RNAcentral.